GUAGGUCCUUACUUUCAAGUUUUAGCAGCAGGUUCUAGUUGAUUAACUAUUCUAGGUAAGCACCUAUUCUAAGCAAGCAUGUUAAACAAGCAAAAUUAACCAAGCAAUCCAUAUUAAUCAUCAUUCUUUGUUCCACUUCUUACUCAGUGUAGAAUAGUGAUCAAGUGGUCUCAAACUGUGAGAGGCAAACGAUUCGUAUCGAGUUUCAUAACCUUGCAAGGUGAAACUAAAGCCACGACAGAUGCGUACCACAAGGGGUCCACACAUGUCAGCCGUCCCC
RNAcentral lists this long non-coding RNA (280 nucleotides) under Setaria viridis. RNAcentral's name for it is "long non-coding RNA (SVIR_LNC000560)". The record is from RNAcentral. Lineage: Eukaryota; Viridiplantae; Streptophyta; Magnoliopsida; Poales; Poaceae.